UACGAAGGGUGCAAGCGUUGCUCGGAAUUAUUGGGCGUAAAGGGUAGGUAGGUGGUCGUAAAAGUCUAGGGUGAAAUCCCUGAGCUCAACUCAGGACGUGCCUUGGAAACUUUAUGACUAGAGUACUAGAGAGGUUCGUGGAAUUCCUGGUGUAGCGGUGAAAUGCGUAGAGAUCAGGAGGAACAUCAGCGGCGAAGGCGGCGAACUGGAUAGUAACUGACACUCAACUACGAAAGCGUGGGGAGCAAACAGG
RNAcentral lists this ribosomal RNA (253 nucleotides) under uncultured bacterium. RNAcentral describes it as "partial 16S ribosomal RNA". It matches the Rfam family "Bacterial small subunit ribosomal RNA", at positions 524 to 776 of the family's 1533-position model. The record is from RNAcentral.